Molecule: long non-coding RNA, 380 nt
Organism: Amborella trichopoda
Lineage: Eukaryota; Viridiplantae; Streptophyta; Magnoliopsida; Amborellales; Amborellaceae
Source: RefSeq, a predicted model, not a curated record
CCAACCCCUCUCCAUCAAGCUGGUUCCUGGCAAUUGUCCUGUGCCCGUGCUUAUGAAAAAGGAGGUGCUUGAGAAUCCAAGCUGCAACAAUUAAUGAGUGAGAAUUUUGAUGAUAUUGGCAAAAUAUUUCUCCUAUUGCUUCUCCCCUUCCUCAUAUAUGAGGCCAAUAAUUGUUACUCUUGUCGUCAUAGUGGAUGUGUCCGUUUCUCUUCUUUCAACUUUUCCAGAUAUUUUUCAAAUAUCCCUAGGAAAAAGGGAUAUUUUCAUUACUUUCCUAGAUUUCAUAUAGGGAAAAAGAUUAUACUGGGCUCGAGUACCGUAGAAUAUGAUGAGACCUAAAACUCUUAAACAGUUAUCAAUUUUUUAAUGUUCUUUUCAAA